This 465-nucleotide ribosomal RNA is filed under the name uncultured bacterium. RNAcentral describes it as "partial 16S ribosomal RNA". It matches the Rfam family "Bacterial small subunit ribosomal RNA", at positions 28 to 506 of the family's 1533-position model. The record is from RNAcentral.
GAUGAACGCUGGCGGCGUGCUUAACACAUGCAAGUCGAACGGUGAAAGAGAGCUUGCUCUCUGGAUCAGUGGCGAACGGGUGAGUAACACGUGAGCAAUCUGCCCCUGACUCUGGGAUAAGCGCUGGAAACGGCGUCUAAUACCGGAUACGAGCUGCGAAGGCAUCUUCAGCAGCUGGAAAGAACUUCGGUCAGGGAUGAGCUCGCGGCCUAUCAGCUAGUUGGUGAGGUAACGGCUCACCAAGGCGUCGACGGGUAGCCGGCCUGAGAGGGUGACCGGCCACACUGGGACUGAGACACGGCCCAGACUCCUACGGGAGGCAGCAGUGGGGAAUAUUGCACAAUGGGCGAAAGCCUGAUGCAGCAACGCCGCGUGAGGGACGACGGCCUUCGGGUUGUAAACCUCUUUUAGCAGGGAAGAAGCGAAAGUGACGGUACCUGCAGAAAAAGCGCCGGCUAACUACGU